RNAcentral lists this transfer RNA (72 nucleotides) under Diaphorina citri (Asian citrus psyllid). It matches the Rfam family "tRNA". Rfam says of the family: Transfer RNA (tRNA) molecules are approximately 80 nucleotides in length. Their secondary structure includes four short double-helical elements and three loops (D, anti-codon, and T loops). The record is from Rfam by way of RNAcentral. Lineage: Eukaryota; Metazoa; Arthropoda; Insecta; Hemiptera; Psyllidae.
GGACCCAUGGCGUAGUGGUCACUGCGCUCGCCUUGCACGCGGGAGACCCGGGUUCGAUUCCCGGCGGUGCUA